GAUGAACGCUAGCGGCAGGCUUAAUACAUGCAAGUCGAGGGGCAGCAGGGUGGUAGCAAUACCACUGCUGGCGACCGGCAAACGGGUGCGGGACACGUACGCAACUUACCCUGAACUGGGGGAUAGCCCGGGGAAACCCGGAUUAAUACCCCGUAACCCUCGGAGGUGGCAUCCACUUUUAGUUAUAGCUCCGGUGGUUCAGGAUGGGCGUGCGGCUGAUUAGGUAGUUGGUUGGGGUAACGGCCCACCAAGCCAACGAUCAGUAACUGGUGUGAGAGCACGACCAGUCACACGGGCACUGAGACACGGGCCCGACUCCUACGGGAGGCAGCAGUAAGGAAUAUUGGGCAAUGGAGGCAACUCUGACCCAGCCAUGCCGCGUGGAGGAUGAAGGCCCUCUGGGUUGUAAACUUCUUUUACUUGGGACGAAACCACUUUUUUCUAAGGGUGUUGACGGUACCAAGGGAAUAAGCACCGGCUAACUCCGUGCCAGCCGCCGCCGUAA
RNAcentral lists this ribosomal RNA (505 nucleotides) under uncultured bacterium. RNAcentral describes it as "partial 16S ribosomal RNA". It matches the Rfam family "Bacterial small subunit ribosomal RNA", at positions 28 to 523 of the family's 1533-position model. The record is from RNAcentral.